RNAcentral lists this ribosomal RNA (465 nucleotides) under uncultured bacterium. Its description in RNAcentral is "partial 16S ribosomal RNA". It matches the Rfam family "Bacterial small subunit ribosomal RNA", at positions 338 to 795 of the family's 1533-position model. The record is from RNAcentral.
CCUACGUGAGGCAGCAGUGGGGAAUAUUGCGCAAUGGGCGAAAGCCUGACGCAGCGACGCCGCGUGAGGGAUGAAGGUCUUCGGAUCGUAAACCUCUGUCAGCAGGGAAGAACGGUCACUGUGCUAAUCAGCAGUGAAUUGACGGUACCUGCAAAGGAAGCACCGGCUAACGCCGUGCCAGCAGCCGCGGUAAUACGGAGGGUGCGCGCGUUAAUCGUAAUUACUGGGCGUAAAGCGCUCGUAGGCGGUAUGUCAAGUCAAGGGUGAAAUCCCCGCGCUCAACGUGGGAACUGCCUUUGAAACUGGCAAACUGGAGUGUGUGAGAGGAUAGUGGAAUUCCAGGUGUAGGAGUGAAAUCCGUAGAUAUCUGGAGGAACAUCAGUGGCGAAGGCGACUAUCUGGCACAUAACUGACGCUGAGGAGCGAAAGCGUGGGUAGCAAACAGGAUUAGAUACCCCUGUAGUC